UCUCUUUACCAUGCAUUACUUACACUUUGAAAUUCUCAUUUUCUCAAAGUUCAACUCAAUAAAUAGUUAUUGGAUUAAAUGUUCUGACAGUUGUCACAAAGGGUGGGGACAUAGACAUUUAAUUCAUACAUCAUACUGCUUGUUCGCAACAAAGGACACAUAACUAACAAUUACAAAGGAAUGUAACUCAAAUAGAACAAGUAUUAAUAACAUUGAGUCCCACUCAUGUUAAAGCAUACAUGAUUUAAACAAAUAAUUUCAUUAAUUAAUAAUUAUUUUGUUUGUGUUCAAUUUUAUGAAUACUGUUAACUUAAUAGUGUAAAAUUAAGCAUCUUUCUGCUUAAAAAAAUAUUAUUUACAAACAUGAUGAUGACAUCAUUAAUAGAUGAAAAUCUCUGUCCUCUGAGCACAACAUUUAGUUUAGGAAAAAUGAGCUCACAAAUAUAUGUUACAGCUUUCUAUUAAAUCUAGUUCUUUAGAAACUACAUUGGUUUCUCAUCAAGUUUAAUUGUCCCUGGGUUCAGCUGUUAUAUAAAAACACUAAAUAACUCGGUCAAGAUGAACAGUGGACUUUAUUACACUUGAUAGCGUAUAUCAUAUAUUAAAUUUUCUUUUGUUGUCUGGAUGUUUAAGUUGCAACAUGUGAAUUCUUAUGUUCUUUUUUCUUCUAUUGGAUCUGACAAGAAUACAAAUAGAAUAGCUCAUGUUCAGGAUUCUAUUUACUGUGCUGUUGCUGUUUGGUCACUGGCUCAAGUUUAUAAAAAGAUUGAUGAUGACCAGGGCAGGAUCAUAAGUUGGGCCAAGCUGAUGAUGGGUAUGUAGCAAUGUUGGAUAUUCAAGUUGGCCUCCUUCAGUUGUAGAGCGACUAUGGUUCAUCUCAAACACUUUUCCAUGUGCAAUGUUGGAUAUGACAGGCAGAUAAAAAAGAUUGAUGAUGACCAGGGCAGGAUCAUAAGUUGGGCCAAGCUGAUGAUGGGUAUGUAGCAAUGUUGGAUAUUCAAGUUGGCCUCCUUCAGUUGUAGAGCGACUAUGGUUCAUCUCAAACACUUUUCCAUGUGCAAUGUUGGAUAUGACAGGCAGAUAAAGUAGAAAAGUUCAAAUCCAAUUAAGUCCAGCAUAUGCCCUGCACUCUACAUUUGAUCUUGUCACUGGUUACCCAGCAUACAGAGGCAAAGAAUAUGAACAUUUGCAAGGGAUUCAUUCAACAGAUGAAGUCAACUUCAUACAGAAUCUAGUUUUUUAUGUGGAGAGAGCUUAUAGAACACCUGACUAUGAGCUUAUAGAACACCUGACUAUGAGCUUAUAGAACACCUGACUAUGAGCUUAUAGAAC
Long non-coding RNA from Biomphalaria glabrata, 1332 nucleotides. RefSeq lists it as uncharacterized. The record is from RefSeq and is a predicted model, not a curated record. The transcript is spliced from 5 exons. Lineage: Eukaryota; Metazoa; Mollusca; Gastropoda; Planorbidae.